UACGUAGGUGGCAAGCGUUAUCCGGAAUUAUUGGGCGUAAAGAGCGCGCAGGUGGUUGAUUAAGUCUGAUGUGAAAGCCCACGGCUUAACCGUGGAGGGUCAUUGGAAACUGGUCGACUUGAGUGCAGAAGAGGGAAGUGGAAUUCCAUGUGUAGCGGUGAAAUGCGUAGAGAUAUGGAGGAACACCAGUGGCGAAGGCGGCUUCCUGGUCUGCAACUGACACUGAGGCGCGAAAGCAUGGGGAGCAAACAGGAUUAGA
Molecule: ribosomal RNA, 259 nt
Filed under: uncultured prokaryote
Description: partial 16S ribosomal RNA
Rfam family: Bacterial small subunit ribosomal RNA
Source: RNAcentral